Corythoichthys intestinalis (scribbled pipefish) is the source of this 4632-nucleotide long non-coding RNA. RefSeq lists it as uncharacterized. The transcript is spliced from 2 exons. NCBI's taxonomy places the organism in Eukaryota, Metazoa, Chordata, Actinopteri, Syngnathiformes, Syngnathidae. The record is from RefSeq and is a predicted model, not a curated record.
ACCCUUUUUGAUGCGUGUAAUGGGAAAAUACAUGUAGGGGGUGUCAACGUUUUAAGUGUCAAGCGAGCUCGGUUGUUGUUUAGAGGCCAGCUUAGCUUAGCUGUUAGCUUCUAAACACGACUUAGACGGCCUAUCGUGACAUGGCCAACAUUGAACAUUAAGUGAGCUCUUGUGACAGAAGUGGACUUUUGCUGUCAAUUCGUCGGAUACUAACUGCGAAUUCCACGCAUGAUCAUCACGACGUUGGAAGUUGACACGAUAUUCUUCAUUUUUUUUUGGUCCCCUUCCAAGUAGCUCCAGCUGACGAGCUAAUGUCGACUGACAAGUCCUUACGUUGGCAUAACUUUGCUAUGCUUUCGAUAGGCAUGUGAGAGUCACAAUUUUGCACUAUUAUAACUGUGCGGAAUCCUUUAAUGUCUUCAUGUGGCUUGUUUCGAAAUUAGUGUAAACUACGUUCUCGUCGUGUAUCAGUUGCUCUGUGAAAGACUAAUUUAAGCACAUAUAAAACUCAUUAGAAUACUCUUUGAUCUUCUCUAUGCCGUUGCUUGAUCAAAAUGUUUGUCCCUGCGGACUCAAUCGACUGGGUUAUGGGUAGCCAUAGAUUGUUAGAGUUGCCUCAAAAGGUUCUCCAGAGAACUGUUACUUAAAAAAUAAGGUGACUCAAGUCAAAGUGAAAAGUACAACAGAUGAAGAGCCUGUAAAUGCAAAUUUAAAAGUUUUUAGAAGACAAUAAAUACUCUGUGACAACUAUUGAAUACACUUUUUGUUACAUUUGUUUUAUUUCCAAUCACAACACGUGUGGCAAAACAAAUAAAAUAGCAGUGAGACCCUACUUACCACGGUGCCUAACUUUCGCAUUGUCACCUUAGCGUAGUGGCUAUCUACUGUAGCGAUAAUGCAAAGCUGAUUUAGUAUAUCUUCGCUCUCCUCUAACAUUGUAAGUAUUUGAGGAUGACACUUGUAAAAAGAUAACUAAACAUUAUUUAAUAUUUCAUAUCUGAAAGCAAACACGAUGACCUCUUCUCAAUAUUCCAUCUUUUCCCACCACCAGCGACUGUCCCUUAUAUCUGCAGUGUUUUACUACCCAACAUUUUUGAAACUGAAAGCUAAGUUUUGGUUACAGAUUAACUGAGUGGCUACAAAUGAUGGCGACUGAGGCUAUGUCUACACUAGGACGGAUAAUGGCCUUAAACGUAAUUAUUUGGACUAUACGGCAUGUCAGCCUCACUAGUAUGCCUAUUAUCCGGAUUAGUUGUUAGACGGAUAAUGCAGGCGGGUAAUGUUACCUGCUGCCUAUGCGCCGCCUAAUAUGGACUUCUGUCUCCCGACAACAUUCGAAUAUUCAGGAAGGGACGUCAUGGUGUCACUGUUUUUAGUACGGCAUGACAGCAUGUAAACAAUGGAGGCGGACGAUCACGACGUGGCAUUCCUGCUCUUUUCUUUCCCACACAUUUUUCUUGAACCUUCAAACUACGUGUCAAUAAUAUGGUUCAAUUCAGUCCCCAUUUGGGGUCCCAGUUGAGGUGGAGAUGAGUGUUUUUUACAGAGCUCGUUUCCCGAGUUCUCACAUCAGCCAGCUGCGGGACUGGCCCCUCCCAACUCAAUGCCGACCGAACAUAAGUACUGUAUAUAAAAAUGUGACCUGCGUGGUACCCCCAGUCAAAGAGGCGCGCGGUCAGUUUUUUUUCCAAGACAUUUCUGCCUGUCAAAACUGUUGCCACUUCCAGGAUAGCCACUUUUAUGCACAAGCAGCCUGGUUGCGGCUUCCAGGAAAUAUACCCAGCGCCACAAUAUAUUCUUCUAUUUGUUAUUUUCCAAGUGGUGAGAGCGCAACUGAGUAUUGAUUGUAACAUCCCAAGUAAUGAUGUCAGGCUUUCAUUGUUUUAUAAAGAUUUAUUUCAAUCACACCUCUGCUCCUGCUCGUAAAAGCCGAGCGUGCUUUCCCCUCCACUCUUGCUCCUGCAUGAUGCGUUUGAUUGCGAUCACGGAAAAAACAGUGAUUCCAAAAUAAUGACAAUCUAGAAGGUUUAGUAAUUUCGAUAUUUUCCGCGGGCGAGGAAUGAGUUUCCGGUUCAGAGGUAAACUGCGUGGGCGAUGACUAGAGGUGUGCAAAAUUUCCGAUUCUUAGAUUAUUCGCGAUUCGGCCGUGGAAGAUUCGAGAACGAUUCACAAACAUCCAAAUUCCGAUUAUUGAAAUAUGCCAAGUAAAGCGGAAGUACAACACACUCAGCGCGCCGCGCGUGCUUCGGGACGGAACGGAGCGGGAGUAGCUAAACAUUAUGCUUCUCAUUAACCGGCCCCUCGGGUAAUGCCAACGCUCAACUCACGGCUCUAGCUCAACUCAUGCCACGAGAUAAAAAAACACAACAACAUACCUGCCUGCUGCCGAAAAGCUGCUACAAGUACAGCUAAGCUACAUAAUGUUACGGUAGAUAUCAUUUAUAUAGGGCUAGAUGGAUUAUAGACUCGGUAGCGGUAGCAGCACAUCUGCAAAAAGCUAGAUGCGGCGUUAGUAAACGGCCGCCAUCUUAAAGCAGUAAACUUCCCUGCAAUGCUGUUGUAGCGAACCUUCCAAGCAAACCUAAUUAACUUUUUAUCUAAAAUACUCCUAAAUCGGUAAAAUAUUGACUUGAAUCUAUCUUUAAAAUAGUUUUAAAACUUUCGCAUGUCAAAAGUAGACAAAAGGGAAAUUAUGGAAUAACGGGAGCAAUUUUAACAACUUUAACGGUUGAUUCACAACAUUAAAUUAAUUGAAUGUAGUUUAAAACUGCUGAUACAGAAUGGGGACUGGAGUUUUUUUUUUAUUUAAUGUUAUUUUUGUAUAUUUGUUUACUGCUAUAUGUUAACUUGAUACUGAAAUAUUAGUUUGGUUUAGCCUGAGAGUAUUUUUGAACAAUUUUGGAACUAAUGUACAAAACUUUAUUUAAAAAAAAAAAAAAAAAGGAGGGGGGUGCAUCAAUAAUCGUUUUAUAAUCGAAUCGGAGCCUCUGAAUCGUAAUCGUAAUCGAAUCGUUAGGUGCCCAAAGAUUCCCAGCUCUAGCGAUGACGUAACACAUGAGGCUUCUCCUUUUUAAGUAUGCGUAGUUUGCGCAAAUGCAGGUGUACCUUGCAGAAGCAGGGGGGCCCUUUACCCCUGGGUGUUAUUUGUCCAUUUUUUGGCUUUUUUCGUUUUUUUCUGUGUUUAAAAGGAAAAAAAGCAUAUGAAAAAAUACACUAGGGAGCUGAUAUUUCCUGCAGGAUACUAAAUCAUGUAGAAGUUCGAAAUGGCACCAUCCGGCAAUUUCUAACUUACUGCAAACAGGCUGGGAAGAUUUGCACUAAACUCUUGUUAUUUUGCCAUUUUUUGGCUCAUUGACUCCCAUUAUAAAUCAUGAUUUUUAAUAUGCUGUAAACCUGAUGUUUUAUCAUGCAUUUUCCGUGAUUAUUGAUGCAAUCGCUUCUUUGGCGAGUCAAAAACAUGCAGAUAAAAAAUUUUUUGUGUUGACACCCAGAAGUCACUAGAUGGAGCCAUAGGCCAAUACAUGAAUUUUCUUGCGAAGCUAGCUUCAGAUCGGUCAAAAAUUAAAGCAAUAAAGACGGUUGGCUUUACAAAAAAAAUGGUGUCAAUGUUGUCUGAGCUCACUUUCAGUCUAUUUGGGCAUGCGUAUUUGCAAUUUUGCACGUUUGCACAAGACAAUAAAAAGGUACUUCCCGGAAAUGCAAAAAAACCAAAACAAAAAACCACGUGUUUAUUGUUGUCGUUUGAAUUUCAACUUUUAUUGGUUGGGUGUUUGAAUUUCUUUACUCUCAUUGGUUCUGGGCAUUUUGGGAGUCUCUGUUCUCGCGAGGAUCACCAUUUUGCAUUUCUUCCAACACAACUUAUGAUCGAUGGCGGCGAGAAGUAUUUCACCGCAGGACACGAUUCGAAUGGUGUUAGAAAAUCCUGAUUCCGACGACGACGACCUUUGUUCGGACGCUUCUUUGGAGAGCCCAGAAGACAUUGAACAAAUUCUUCCGGACUUUCGAUGCCGGAGGAGGACGGCUUUGAUGACGAGGAUUAGGAAAUAGUUGACAACAUAACGAGAUGAAAGCGGGGAGCAGAAGGCGGGGGCACGGACAUGACCACGUUGAGGCGCAUGACGAAAAUGACGGCGAUCGAGGCCUGAGGCACAUACUCCUGCCGCCGGCGCGCACUCAGGUGGCCAAUGUGUGUUUUUUCACAUGCCGGACAUUUCGUCAUGCAGCGCGUUUGUGCUGUUCACGGAGAUCUACCCUCGUUUGUGCUGUUCACAGAGAUCUACCCUGAGUGGAACGUGAAGAAAAGCUACAAGCGCCGACUAUUUCUUGAGGAACUUGGCAAGGCUCUAAUUCGGCCAGAAGUCCUAAAACGGGAACCACCGCCUUCUGCCGAAGGCUUGGUUGAGCAGCGAGCUGGACCCCCGUCCAAGCGCAAACAAUGUGGCCUUUGCACAAAGCCACUUCGGGCUUCGAACAUAAUAAUAAAUAAUAAUACAUUUUAUUUAUAACGCACUUUACAUUUGAACAACAAAUCUCAAAGUGCACAUCAUGAAUUGUGUAUGUUGUUAUUAUGUUAACUGUUAUAUUGUAUGUAUGUUUUGUAAAAUUGUUAACAUAAAUUCUAUCAUCAAAUCA